UUCUCUGGUUUUAAAAAAUAAAUUUUGAUUUAUUUUAGUCUUCCGUUGUAUGAUCUUGAAAAUGUUUCAAGAUCUAACCCUGAAACCCUAGAUCUGGUUCCUUCAAUUGGUAUCAGAGCCUAGAUUCUUUAUUACAUGAUUAUUUAUACAUGCUUAGAUUAUUUUUUAGAUUAGAUCUAAUUUAUAAUCUGAUUAUUAAAUCUAAAAUUAAAAUUUUAAAUCAAUCACGAACUGCAAGGUUGUCCUACUGUAAGGUUUACCCCUUACAGUGCAAAGGUUGUCCUAGUUUGUGUAGAUCUAUCUUUAAUCAUAAAUUUGUUAGAUAUAAUCUAGAUUAAAUUUGUUGGUGCAAAAAUCUGCUCGCACCAGAGAAGCUAGAGUCGGAGAAGCCG
RNAcentral lists this long non-coding RNA (392 nucleotides) under Elaeis guineensis (African oil palm). RNAcentral describes it as "long non-coding RNA (EGUI_LNC074874)". Lineage: Eukaryota; Viridiplantae; Streptophyta; Magnoliopsida; Arecales; Arecaceae. The record is from RNAcentral.